AUUGAACGCUGGCGGAAUGCUUUACACAUGCAAGUCGAGCGGCAGCGCGGCCUUCGGGCUGGCGGCGAGCGGCGAACGGGUGAGUAAUGCAUCGGAACAUGCCCAGUCGUGGGGGAUAACACUUCGAAAGAAGUGCUAAUACCGCAUACGUCCUGAGGGGGAAAGCGGGGGAUCGCAAGACCUCGCGCGAUUGGAGUGGCCGAUGUCAGAUUAGCUAGUUGGUGGGGUAAAGGCCUACCAAGGCGACGAUCUGUAGCUGGUCUGAGAGGAAGAGCAGCCACACUGGGAAUGAGACACGGCCCAGACUCCUACGGGAGGCAGCAGUGGGGAAUUUUGGACAAUGGGGGCAACCCUGAUCCAGCCAUUCCGCGUGAGUGAAGAAGGCCUUCGGGUUGUAAAGCUCUUUCGGCAGGAACGAAACGGUGGGCUCUAACAUAGUCCGCUAAUGACGGUACCUGAAGAAGAAGCACCGGCUAACUACGUG
Molecule: ribosomal RNA, 484 nt
Filed under: uncultured bacterium
Lineage: Bacteria
Description: partial 16S ribosomal RNA
Rfam family: Bacterial small subunit ribosomal RNA
Source: RNAcentral